This 5632-nucleotide long non-coding RNA is filed under the name Triticum aestivum (bread wheat). Its description in RNAcentral is "long non-coding RNA (TAES_LNC012254)". Lineage: Eukaryota; Viridiplantae; Streptophyta; Magnoliopsida; Poales; Poaceae. The record is from RNAcentral.
CAUUGUAACAGCUUUAUGUUUAAUCAUGCAGGCUUGGCUUUGGGCAGGUUGUUAUGUGAGGCUGCUGAAGUAGUUUCUCCUAUCUAGAUGCUUCCUGAUGCAUUUGAGAGAAUGGAUGUGAUAUCUUCACUUGUUCUACUCUUGCUGAAGAAGAAACUUUUGUCAUGCUUUACUGGUUCCAUUGUGAGACUAUUUUUUACUGGUUUAAUGAGUACCUUGCGGAAUCAAUCAAUGUUAUUAUGGCAGCUAGAAUAUCAUAUGUUGAGUUUUGUCAUUGAUGUUUUGAGCGAUUCUUAUAUAUUGUUAGUCGCUGCAUUUGCUUUGCUGUCUUGUUGCUUAGGGCAGUUGAUUGCCGCUGGAUUAUUUCAUCACUAGAUACAUUGAAUUCAGUUAUCAUGAUGAAAAUUGCCUUAUUUGAACUUAACCAAAUUGAAAAUUCAGAUUUCAAAAUGAACUGCAAAAAAGUCUUGUAUUUUGAUACGGAGAAGUAUGAAUGGAAAGGAAUUCAGACAUGGAUUCUACAUUGAUAGAAUGACAGAACUGUAGAUUGUACUGUUGCAUCCUUCGACAGCCAUUUUGCAUUUGGAAUUAGGUUUGCCCAAUUUUCUGAAAGACUUGAAUUUUGCUCUGUCUUGACUGCUACUGUUUGAAAAUUUGUCGGUCUGGGCUAUUUAUAUUACCGUACGUAUAUUCUGUAAGACAGCAACGCCAUCAGUUAAAAGUUAAUGUCUGUCAGAAGGUACACCUGCAAAAGGCAAGCCAUUGGAGGAAGUCAUCCGAAAACCCAUUCCCAAAGCUUAAAUCCACCCAGUCCCACAACUUAAAUCCAAUAAUUUACCGAAAUACUUCCUUCAUCGCAAAUUAAAUGUCUUUUGUUUAGUAUAACUAAGUGACUUGAAGGGAGUACUAUUUGCAUUUUUCGACAAGUAGGGAGUACAACUUUAAUGACAAUUACUUUAGGACGGAGUGAGUACUAUUCGCUCAGUUCCUUGUUGGCGAGGGAUAAGAGCAUGGCGAACGAGCCUUAGGAUGAUGCCUCCUAGGUCAUAUAGGAUUGGAUGUUAGAAAAAGUAGUGAGUGCUUAGAGAAAAAAUGUGGUCGUUUUGAGGGAAUGGAUAGGUUUUAUUGAUCAGAAGGCACAGUUUGUGGGUAGGGAUGUAAAUGGUACGGAUAAUUUCCGUUCCGAAUCCGCAUCCGCAUCCGUUUUUAAGGAUAUGGUAUGCACUUUCAUAAAUCCGACGGAUACGGAUGCGGAUACGGAUAAUUGUUAACCGGAUAUCCGAUGAAUAUGGUAGCGGAUAUGGUAUCGAUAAUAUCCGAUGGAUGUAGAUUAUCCGGUAUUUUUUGCGGAUUAUGCGGUGUUAUCAAAUAGGAUUAUCCGAUAAAUUUGGUCCAAACGAAAAGCCCAACUACCCAAUUAGAUCGCUGAUCAGAAUGACCACAUAUAAAUAUCAUAUAACCCUAAACCUAAUAGCACCGCCGUAUGACUGUACACAUAAAAUGUACGUACAAGCGCAGAGAAUAGACUUGAGAACACGUACUGUACAAGCUCACUUACAUAGUAUAUAACAUAUUCUGUUAUGAACCAGAGAACACUAUGAACCUAUGAUGGCUAAUGUCUUGCCUGGUGCAGCGUGUAAGUUAUUAAUUUCAUUUAUCAAUAAAAAUUGAUUGGUUACUUCUAUAUUGUUCUUCUUUGCAUUGAUCAUGAUAGAUAUUAUGGACAAGAUGUACAUAGAUUUUAUUUAUCCACUUUCGGUCCGAAUCCGCUCCGCUUCCACUCCGAAUCCGUAGUCUGAUAUAAUUCGUAUUCGAAUCCGCAUCCGGUCAUUAUCCGAUCCGCUCCGAAUCCGACAAAAAAAUAUGGUAAAGGAUAUGGUAAAGGCAUUAUCCGAUCCGAUCCGAUCCGUUUACAUCCCUAUUUGUGGGAUAUAACUAGGAUCAUGGAGAGUAACAAGUCACAGAUGGCGCAAAAUAGGAGAACUUAGCUAAACUGCGAGCCUUGCUAUUCAUGGCGGGGCCUUCAAAGUAAAUUAACAGUUAAACAUUGUAGUUCGAUGAUUGAUUUCGCUGAAGAUGGAUCCAUGCCCGCCAUGAGAUCCUUUGUUGAUGUCAUCCACGGCCUGAUUAGAGUCUGAAGCUAUAAUAACGCUCUGGAGAAAUAGAUCAUCCGCCAAAGACAUUGCCUCCCGGCACGCUAUUAUAGAUCAUCCACUCCCAUUCAUCAUGUAAUUUUCUAGUGAUUGAAAUAUCUAAUUCUAACUUUUCUUCUAAAGCUUUCAUCAUAGCAUCAAUAAUAUGUUUAGUAAAAACUUUAUUUUGUUCAUAAGCAUGAGAUGAAUUUAUUAUGGAUUGCAACAAAAAAAUACAAUCAAUAAACGAGCAACUAUCUCUCCCUAAUAAUAAAGCACGGAUUGACUUUGUCGGGUUCACCCUCACAAUACGCUUUCUUCUUAUGUCAUAAUAUGUUUUUACGAUUUGUAUGGACAAAAUCGUAAUAUAAACGAGAUGGUACUAAUUUAUGUUGUUGUUGUUUUACAUGAGUUGGACUUCUCCCUGAUCAAUCCUGAGUUUUACCAGAUGAUCUCUCGGCCGUCUGGGCAUCGGCCCUCAGUCCACCAAACCCAGCCCAGGCAAAACCGUGUAGUUCGGUGGAGGUGGAAAAAAUAAUGAAGCAGCUACAGGGAGUCGAACUCCCGACCUCCUGUUCGAUGUAUACAAGGAGCAGUCCAACUGACCAAGCGUAUGUUCUUGAAUUAAAGUAAGAUUGGUCGAUAUUAGAUAGUCCCACCUCGCUUUCUUUAGCAAAAUCUCACCAAUUUAAAUACAUCUAUUAGUUGAUACCAAUAAGCCGCCCAUAGAAUUAAUAAGGAGUUUGUCUGCUUCUUCAUGAAAAGAAAAUUAUGAAAUUAACACAAGAAAGACCUGAUUAAACCGGCUCAUACUAAGGAAUCGGAGAAGAAGAAGGGAUUGGCUUGCGUCCAUGGGAAGGAGCAGGGAGGAGUUAAGGCCAACGGGAGCACUCUGGCCGGAGACCGCUGGGUGGAACCCCUGCAUGCGCACGUGCAGGAGGCGGCAUGCGCACGUGCAGGAGGCGGCCAUGGCCUCGCUUCGCUGCAGGAAGCCGAAGGGAGGGCAGAAAACAGGAAGGCAGCUAGCUGGGCCCAAUGAUGCAGCAGGAGAUCGAAUAUAGGGCUCUAUGCUCGGCGGCGCCAUGGCUGCGGCUUGGUCAAGCUCGAGAGAAGGCAGGGGACGAGGUCGGUGUCCAUGGCAGACAGAGGAGACCCGCGGAGGACGGGGGCCUCGAGGCAGAGAAGGGUGCGGGGGGCUGGCGGGGUCGGGUCGCCGAGGCAUCGGACGUGGUGGUGCCUCGAGGUUGCUCUCCUGCGGCCGGUGUCCUCCUGUGACGAGAUAGAUGCUGAGAUAUUCGAUCUCAUGGAGAUCGAGCGCGAGAAGAAAGGAAGGGAGAGCUAGGUCCGCCAAGGUCCGUCACCUCAAGCCGGGUGGGCUUUCUGGUCCGAACGGGCCUUUGAUGAGAUAUAUAUGUAGAUCACAAUAUGCUUAUGUCUCAGAUAUCCUUCAAGAAAAUGUAUAAACUUGGAUUUUGUCUGGCUUGUUGUACACUUCAUUGCUAAUUUAACCUAAUUUAAUUUCUAACCAUGGCAACAAUGCUCAGUUAUUUACAUUAAAGUAUGAUGUUUCCAGAAAUACCUAAGGGGCUGUGGAAAAAUUUAGGUUGUCAAGAAUUGGAAUACAUACUGUUUGCCAAAAUACCGUCCCAAAGUACGUUUCAUCCAUAGUUUUUUUUUCAUCAGAGACUUUUGUCCCGCGUUGACCAUGACUAAAGUAGAUUUAUGUUUUUUGGGAUGACAACAAAGUUCAGGGUGGUCAAGGUGCCUAGGUUUAAUUGAGAAAUGAGAAAGUUGCGAUCAGUUGAAUUUUUUUCUCCAUAGCAAUGUAUGAUCAUUCAACAAUGCAUUUCUUUAUGUAGGCAAAUGCAUGUAUUGUGCAUGUAUGAUACUUUAACAAAUGGAUAAUUUAGUUUUUGUUUAAGACGAAUCUUGAUAGCAUCACAUAUGUGAGUGUGCUCCCAUGACAACGCACGAACACACCAGAUAACAUGGAAGAAUUUUUUUUCUUCCGUUGCAACGCAUGGGCAUUUUUGCUAGUCAUAAUUAAAGUCUUUGUAAUCCAAAAGAGUGGGCACAUCACUAGUUAAAGUUUUGACCUCUUCAAACCCACUUUUAUCAAUUUUCUCAACAAGCUUUUCACCCUUUGAAUUAUCGGGACACCUUCUAGCUAAAGUUGACUCUUCUCCAAUCCCUUUAUCAUCAAUUUAAUUUUGCUAAACAAAGAAUCAAUAGAAAAAACACCAAGCAUUUUAAGAUCUUCAUCACUUUUAUGAAAGCAAUCACUAGAAAACGCUUCUCAAAAUUCUCUUCUAGCUCUAAGCAUAGCGGUUCUUUUCUUACUUUCAUCCACAGAAACAUAAAGAGCUUUAAUUGAUUCUUCUACCUUAGGCACAAAAAUUUUCAUCUUGAGAUUUUAUACAUGAUGAGAAAUUUUAUCAAUACUUUUAGACAUCUCAUCAAUCUUAUUCAGCUUUUCUUCUAUUGUAGCAUUGAAAACUUUUUGAGUAUAGAUAAAUUCUUUAAUAUUAUUCUCAAGAUCAGAGGUGUUCCUAUUAUUAUUAUAAGAAGGAUUACCAUAGGAAUUACCAUACUUAUUAGAGGAACUACUAGUAAAAGGCCUAGGAUUAAAAUUACCUCUAUAAGCCAUGUUAUUGAAAUUGUUUCGCGAGAUAAAAUUCACAUCUAUGGCAUCACUAUUUUGCUCAAUCAAAGUAGACAAAGGCGCAUCAUUAAAAUCAAUAGGGGCACUUUUAUUAGCAACCAAUUUCAUAAGAGCAUCAACUUUUUCACUCAAAGAAGAAAUUUCUCCAACUGAAAAACUUUUUUACUAGUAGGAGUUCUUUCGGUAUGCCAUUGUGAAUAAUUUGCCAUAAUAUUGUCUAGCAAUUUAGUAGCUUCACCCAAAGUAAUUUCCAUAAAAGUACCACCCGCGGCGGAAUCUAAAAGAUUUCUAGAAACAAAAUUCAAUCCGCAUAAAUUUUUUGUAUGAUCAUCCAAAGAUUUAAACCAUGAGUAGGAUAAUUUCUUAGCAUCAAUUUCAUUCUUUCCCAAGAUUGCGCAACAUGUUCAUGCUCAAGUUGCUUAAAAUUCAUGACUUUCAUCCUAAGAGAAAUAAUCUUGCGGGCAGAAAAUACUUGGUAGUAAAAGCAUCCUUGCACUUAUCCCCAGAAUCGAUACUAUUGCGGGGCAAAGAAAAAAACCAAAAUUUUGCACGAUCACACAAAGAAAAUGGGAAUAAUUUCAACUUCACAAUAUCAUUGUCUACAUCUUUAUUCUUUUGCAUAUCGCAUAAUUCCACGAAUGUGUUAAGAUGGGACGCGACAUCCUCACUAGGAGUACCGGAAAGUUGAUCUUUCAUAACAAGAUUCAGCAAAGCGACAUUAAUAUCAAAAGACUCCGCACUAGUGGCGAGAGGAGCAAUCGGAGCACUAAUAAAAUCAUUGUUGUUGGUAUUGGAGAAAGUCAUCGUGACUACGCAACAAGAUUGCACUAAAAAAUAG